GUGUGUGCUUCGCUCUUGCUGUGCGCGGGAAACCAGGGGCUUUCAAGCCUGCAGGAUCUGUGCGGCCCGGCGAAACAGCGACCAGUUUCACGUGGCUCGUACUAGCUUGAGUUCAACUACUUUCACCUUGCGUCUCGUUGUCAACGUCGCGCUCUCAAGUUUUCAUGAAAUCUCGAUGCCGUGAAUUUUAAGUAAGCCCCGCGCGUCGUAAACGCAUAAAUUCCAGAAAUGUUAAGCCAGUAUUUAUUUAUAUGUUAACCCUGAUGAAGCGCUGAUUCUAUCUGUCUGAUUAUAACGAUCGUUUAUCACUCGUAAAACAAAAUUGAACGAACUUUGUGCGUUUAGAAAUUUAAUCGUCUUGCGGCGAGAUGUACGAGCGUAUAAUCAAGACAAAAGGGUAGAACAUGAUUCGAGCCGGAACGACCGUCGAGACCUGGAAACGUCCCGAAGCGCGGAGCUAGUGACAGCAAAGGCGGCGAGCGCAAUAACGGAUAAGCGGAGCAAUCGGACAGUUUGUGAGCGGCCUCUGCUCCUGAUGGGCUGGACGAUGGAGAGACACGGCUGUAGGGAGUCGGGGCCGACCGAAGGAAGCGAGGCAAUCAAAGGAGGAGACUGUCGAAAGAAGGAUAAGGAAACCACUACAACAGAAAGUUCGCAAAGUGUUUCAACGUAUUCGUUCAGUUCACAAGGUCCAGCGAUCUCUUUCAAACAAACUCUUGAACCGAUCAUUGAUUGUAAGCAGAUGAUUGUACAAAAUAGUGAUGAGACAAUUCUUUACUCUUUUCACUUGGUAGACAUUAAAGUGGACAAUAUAUUCUUCGAAUAUUUAAAAUGUUUGUAUUUCUGUAAGGUUUUUAACGUUUUAUAUCCGCUAGAAGUAGUUAAUAUAUUAGAUUUAGUAGAUUUUAAUAAUAUAUAAGAGAAAUUUUUUAAUGACUCAUGAAUAUUAUUAACUGAACAAGACGAUACAGAUGCGAAAAUCAACAUAAUGAAUUGAUCCUAAAUGCAAAACUCAGCAAAUAUGUAUGUUUACGAAAACUUGAAUAAGUCUAUCAAACCGCUAAUCGCGCGAUCAGAAUUCACAGCGGAAAAUACAAAAUUGGAGGCGUAAUAUAGACGUCUUAUUUCUGGAUAUACGUAGAAGAGCAUGACGAACGGUCGACCCCUCGGUAAAGUCCUUUGCAUAGCCGGAGGGAGAACGCCGAAAUUCCAGGGAAGAUUAAGACGUGCGGAUUUGGGGGUAGGGCAAGCGGAAAAACAGGAGCUAAGGGCAGGGAGCGGAACCUUAGCUCGCGGCUACAGAAAACCAUAGUCGGCUCGUCGCAGAGAGACGCGAGAGAAAUCUCUCCCACCGCUCUUGCUGCACGAUCUCUCCGUCUCCAUAUCUAUUCGUCUCUUUCUAUUCUCCACAUUCUUUGCCUCCUCUUUCCUCCCCUUCUCACUCUCUCCUUUUCGCGUAAAAGCAAGAAAGCUUAAUUUCAAUUUCG
Molecule: long non-coding RNA, 1487 nt
Organism: Nylanderia fulva
Lineage: Eukaryota; Metazoa; Arthropoda; Insecta; Hymenoptera; Formicidae
Source: RefSeq, a predicted model, not a curated record